GGAGGUGUGGCUUAGUGAUAUGAGGCAUGCCUAGCAUGCUUGAGGUUCUGGGUUCAAACCCCAGCACUGCUA
Molecule: transfer RNA, 72 nt
Filed under: Dipodomys ordii (Ord's kangaroo rat)
Lineage: Eukaryota; Metazoa; Chordata; Mammalia; Rodentia; Heteromyidae
Rfam family: tRNA
About the family: Transfer RNA (tRNA) molecules are approximately 80 nucleotides in length.
Source: Rfam by way of RNAcentral